GAUGAACGCUGGCGGCGUGCCUAAUACAUGCAAGUCGAGCGAACAGACGAGGAGCUUGCUCCUCUGACGUUAGCGGCGGACGGGUGAGUAACACGUGGAUAACCUACCUAUAAGACUGGGAUAACUUCGGGAAACCGGAGCUAAUACCGGAUAAUAUAUUGAACCGCAUGGUUCAAUAGUGAAAGACGGUUUUGCUGUCACUUAUAGAUGGAUCCGCGCCGCAUUAGCUGUUGGUAAGGUAACGGCUUACCAAGGCAACGAUGCGUAGCCGACCUGAGAGGGUGAUCGGCCACACUGGAACUGAGACACGGUCUAGACUCCUACGGGAGGCAGCAGUAGGGAAUCUUCCGCAAUGGGCGAAAGCUUGACGGAGCAACGCCGCGUGAGUGAUGAAGGUCUUCGGAUCGUAAAACUCUGUUAUUAGGGAAGAACAAAUGUGUAAGUAACUAUGCACGUCUUGACGGUACCUAAUCAGAAAGCCACGGCUAACUACGUG
RNAcentral lists this ribosomal RNA (496 nucleotides) under uncultured bacterium. RNAcentral describes it as "partial 16S ribosomal RNA". It matches the Rfam family "Bacterial small subunit ribosomal RNA", at positions 28 to 507 of the family's 1533-position model. The record is from RNAcentral.